CGUAACGGUAACCACGCUCGUUUCCGCACCCAGUUGCAGGUACCGCCCGCCCGAGCGCUCCCUACCAGCUGCCAUCCCGCAGCGCUCCGUACGGCAGACGCCGGGAGCAGAGAGCGGCGCUCGGCCGCCCGCCUCCCAACGUCCCGCUAUCCGCUCGCCCGGCUCCGUCACCCCGCUAACCGGCCGACUUUACCGGCGCCGAGGGGAAGCAAACAGGCUCCCGCUCGGCGGCGGUACGGCCGCGUUGCACCCGGCCUUCCCGGAGCUCGGCCGCGUCGCUUCCCGUCGGGAACGGCAGCGACCGGAGCCGCGUCGGCCUCGCCCCGGGCGGCAGCACCGGAGCACCGGGAGCCCGGGAGGCUCCGGGAACGCUCCUCGCUUCCGCUAUCAAAGGCGGCCGCCGGUUUCUCGCAACUUAGCGGCAUUCCCGAGGAACGCGGCCGGCCGCCGUUCCAUUGUUUCCGAAGUAGUUCGACCCCGUACCGGCGCAGCCCGACCGCGCUCCGGGCGGAGGAAGCGCGGCCGGGGAGCGCCGGGCCGGGCCGGGAGGGCGACUCGGUAACGGCGGGGAGCUCCGCCGACCCCUCCCCGGCCCGACCCUCCCCCGCCGCCCCCGUUCGGCCGUUCCGUCCCGUCUCCGCCGCAGAAGCCGCGCCGUCCAACUUUUCCCUCCCCCUUGGAAGCGCCACUUCCUUUGAACGCGCUCCGUCUGCGAACAAAGGCGGCCCGGCCCGGCCCCUCCGCAGCUCCCGGCACGGCCGCCCCGCGGGUCGCGCUCCCCGCGGCUCCUACCGGGAGCAACUUUUCCGGGGCCGGCCUCCUCGGCGCUGCCGCGACCGCGACUUUGUCUGCUUUGGACACUACGGUGCUGCCGACUCCCGAAAAUUUUCCACUCGAACGUGCGGCGAAGCGGCGGCUCUGGACAAGGAGACGCGGCGGCGGCGAGAGCGGCAUCGCUGCCUCCAUCCCCCGAGGGGCUGCGCGCGGCCGGGGGCAGCGCAACGCGAGCCGCCAACUUCCCGCGGAUAA
This 1029-nucleotide long non-coding RNA is filed under the name Coturnix japonica (Japanese quail). Its description in RNAcentral is "lncRNA (ENSCJPG00005018616.1)". Lineage: Eukaryota; Metazoa; Chordata; Aves; Galliformes; Phasianidae. The record is from RNAcentral.